Molecule: long non-coding RNA, 2551 nt
Organism: Syzygium oleosum
Lineage: Eukaryota; Viridiplantae; Streptophyta; Magnoliopsida; Myrtales; Myrtaceae
Exons: 2
Source: RefSeq, a predicted model, not a curated record
AGGAGAAAAAAAAAAAAAUAGAUGGUGGAAUUACUGCAGUCCUCAGUCCUCGCCACCAGCUUCGAAGCAAGUGAUGAUGCCAGAUUUUUCUUCAUUUCUUUUUCAUUCUCUUCUUCGGUUACCAGUGCAAGCGUACAGAAGGAGCCUCUCUCAAAAUCAUCGUGGUGGACUAGACAAGGAUGGUGCCGAUCAGCCUUCCUAAUUCUUCUUUAAUAUCUGACAUUUCUAAAACAAAUGAUUAUGGGGAAAUGGGCAUUUUGAUUGCCAAUGGAAGUGUUACUUUCCCUAUGACAGUUCGGAUUGUCACUUCUUUUUUGAAUUGCGUAGGGAAUGCAUGAUGACACGAAUUUCAAGUUUUGGAAGAGGAACGUCUUCACCAGCUGGACUAACUUCUUUUCUCAGCUUCACGUGUUUUAUUAUUAUCAUUAGCAAUGUGAUAAUUCAAAUUAUCACUGAUAUCGGAGCAAAAUGACCCAUUCAUAAUCUUCCUUGGGUGGCACGACUCAUAAUGUUUUGCUUCCUUGAUUAAGUAUUCAUGCUUUUCUCUAUACCAAAUCAUAUAUGGUUGUAUUGCUGGAUAUCUAGAAUUUGCUAUGCAAUAAUUUGAUCAACCCAAAUUACGGGACGCUCUCAAGAAUUAACUGCUUGCUGUUACCCAUCCGAAGAAGAAAUGUGCCAGGUAACUCAGCUCCAAGUCCUAAAAUCCACCAUCUCACACUAGUUUUCUUCUCUCUUUUUGCCAAAACCCUCUCAUACAAGUGGAAAUGAUAAAUUUAGGUGGUUUGGUUAUGAGUGGACUCAUGGAAUCAUGGUCUCUAGAAACAAAGAUACAAGAGACUGGUGCGUGUCAGAGUCCUGGACUGGAAAUUGCUAUAUCCUUCCAGGAUUGGAUUGCUUCAUUGGGUCCAAAAAGAGCAUAAAUACUUUGUAGCCUAAAAUGAAAAUAAAAAAUGCUUCUCUUUGGAUUGACUUAGGCCCCUUUUGUGGGUCUCUACUAGCAAAAGGGCAUGAUUAGUUUUCACUGGUUUUCUGUUCCUGCAUAAAUUUUGGGUCCACUUGUCUUGGCAAUUUCGGGCCCUCCACCCUCCGGAGACAUUUAAGGAUUUCUCCCUAAUGAUAUAGAUUUCAGAAGUCAAUCAAAGCUAAUACUCUGUUUAACAUGUUCAACUCAUGUCUGAUGAUUUCACAGGUUUUUGUGCUUUUAAACGAUUAACCACAAUUAGACCAGUAAUUGCCAACAAUCCACGUUUGAGCCGCCGCGUGGGCUUUGGCAUGUGUUUUGCUUCGUCCAUGUUCCACCGCCUCUUGCCUGGUCCUCUCCCUGGUACUUUAAAUCUGUCAUAUGGAUCUGAAGAAGAGUGUGGAUCCAAAGGCGGUUUGCGAUGCGUUAAUGUUGAUAAGUAAACAAAUCUCAACCGAUCUAAUGUUAGCAGCCUAAAUUUCAGUCCAUGAAAGAAUGGUUCCAGUUUUAAUGCAGAUGGGUUCGGUCCAAACAAACGCUACAACUUUUGAACUAGUUUGACAAAUAAAACAGCAACAUAUCUUUCCGUGAUCCAACUCCCAACAUCAAUUUAUCGUUCUAUUUCCACUGUUUCUGGUCUCUUAUCUUGGGUUUUUUCCCCGAUUAAACAGAGUAUUAGCUAUGAUUGACUUCUGAGAUCUAGUCUUUAGGGGAAACAUCAAUGUAUUUCUUGGGACCAUCAGCUUGAUGGUUUGAUGUCCUGUACUCCUAUUAGCUUUUCCUUGCCUUAUACUUCACGACUAAUCCCAGCUUUAGGGUUCUUACUUGACAGGGCCACUAGUCGAACUAACACUCCACUGAAAAAAGAGAGUUAUUUGAUUGAUCAGAACAUCAAUAAGUACAGAACUCGUUUGGUCGAUUCUCUUCCCAAAGUAAACAGGGGAAGGUGAGAAGACGCACAACAUUGAAUGCUUCAACUUACUGAGAGAAUGUACGUGUGCAUUUGGUUGGACAUGGCACGACAAACUUCUUGCCUAUCCGACUUAUGGCUUUCAAACUGACAGAAGAUGGUCUAUUAAAACUCUCCUACAAGAUGAAAAAACAACAGUAAAUGAUCUCCCCAUCGAAGAUUUUUCUUAGAAAGAUGGACUCCUCUGUAAGGUUCAAUAGCAGGACAUUCAAGUGAUUUGAAUCAAAAUGAACUUGCAAUGAUUAUCUAAUCCGCCAUAUGUACAAUGAGAGAACUGAUUACAAGGAUUGCUCUAUAGAGAUUAGAGUAAUGUACAUCCAUUAUUGCUGCUCUUACAAAAACAGGCCUCAUCUGCAAUGUUGUUUUUCACCUUAUCCCCUGCUAUCUUCAUCCGGGAACCCAUAGUAUGCAGUUGUGGAUCAAUUUAUGCAGGCGUUGGCUUGGCCUUGUUAUUGAUGCAUUGGCGGAGGCGGUGGCGGCGGCGGCGGCGGCAUUGGAUAAGCCAUGGGCACCAUGUAAGGCGGAUGAGGGUGGUGCCCUGGAGGUGGAAGCAUGACGGGUGUCCCAACCGCAGAUCCAAUAUGCCCUGGAGGAGCAGCAAUUGGGUGACCCACUGGCGC